GUGAAACAAUCAUCAGUUAUGACUGCAGCUGUAGGAAUCAUAAUUGUUGUUCUGGUUCUCAUCCUCUGUCUCUCUGGACUCAUGUGGUUCAGGAAGAAGGCAUCCAAAUCCACYUCUGGCACAAYAGAAACAAGAGACASAGCAGACGAGGGACAGGUGAGUCUGUUGGGAUCAGAAGAUGACUGUGAUGACUGUGUAUUCUUUGUGGAACAUUUCUACUCCUCAUGUUGUCUAUACUCUUUCCCCAUCAGGGAGACUCUACUCUCCUGUAUGACAACGUCAUAGGCAUGGCCAUGCAGCAGAGACAGCAGUCACCGUCGAGUCAGGAUGACAUUCACUACACCAGCGUUCACUUCUCUCCCUCUAAAAACCAGGAAGAGCUUUGUACUCCAUCGUCCAGCUGCCUCAACCCCAGAAACAGGACAAAGAUGUCCAGUACGCUGCUGUGAAAUUCAACCCCCCAACCCACGGCGGCACAAGCAGCUGAGGAGGACACCUCUGAGAUUUACAAAACAGUCAACAAACCCAGAACCAAGACCACCUGAACACAACAAAACCAAAACCAAAACCAAGACCACCUGAACACAACAAAUCCCCAAACCAAGAAGAACUUAAAACAACAAACCCAGAACCAGGAAGACCUGAACACAACAAAACCAGAACAAAGAAGACCUGAACACAACAAAUCCAGAACCAAGAAGACCUGAACACAACAAGUUCAUCAAAAACCUUGUAUAUCUGGACCAGUAUAUUAAAACUUAGUCAUUUAAUGAAGCAAUAAGGUCAAAGGGGGUGUGGUAUAUUGGUCAAAAUACUGUAUCACGGAUAAGGGCUGCUCUUAAGCACAACACAAUGCAGAGUGCCUGGAUACAGCCCUUAGCCGUGGUAUAUUGACCAUAUUCCAAAACCCCUGAGUUGCCUUCUUGCUAUUAUAAGCUGGUUACCAACAUCAAUAGAAAAGUAAACAAGUAUUUUUGCRUCAUACUCGUGGUAUAUUGUCUGAUAUACAGUACAUACGGCAAAAUGCUGUUUCAACCAAUCAGCAUCCAGGACCCAAACUACCUGGUUUAUAAUAGUAUAUAAUAAUAUAUGCCAUCUAGCAGGCACUUUUAUCCAAUGUCAUUUACUUUGAGUAGGAUUGCUGAUAGGUCAGUUUAGCCUUAAACAAUGAUGAAUAA
Salvelinus sp. IW2-2015 is the source of this 1178-nucleotide non-coding RNA. Lineage: Eukaryota; Metazoa; Chordata; Actinopteri; Salmoniformes; Salmonidae. The record is from RefSeq and is a predicted model, not a curated record.